Molecule: unclassified non-coding RNA, 493 nt
Filed under: Hevea brasiliensis (rubber tree)
Lineage: Eukaryota; Viridiplantae; Streptophyta; Magnoliopsida; Malpighiales; Euphorbiaceae
Source: RNAcentral
AAUAAAUAAAUAAAAAAAAAAAAUGUCAAUAUACAUGGCCACCAAUGUAGCCACUCAUACAAUAUCAUCAAACUUGAAAUGAGGCCAGAAAGUGGCAACGAAUCGCAAGUGCCAUAAUUUAUAUCUCCGCGUUUAUGCAUGGCACCUAUGCUCCUAUUUUGGAAAUAUUGCUCCUGUCUUAAUUUCAUCUAUGAUUUUUAAAUUUAAAUUAGUUACUGAACUUCAAAUUUGUAUUCAAGUACAUGAUAUAUUUCAAUGACCACUGUUGAUGGUAAACCUAUAGUUCCCCGACAAUUAACAUUUCUCAGUAUUACAAGAUCAUACUAGCUCAUAAACGUAAGGAACAAUCAAGAACUGAUCACUUGUGUUCUCUGCACUUGUGCCAUGUAACCAUUAAAUAUUCUACAACCCAAUCUCAAGACAGUUAAAUGCUAAAUAAUCAUAAUACAACUGCAAUGUUCAUAAGCAUCAAACAAAAAAAAAAAAAAAAAAA